Molecule: ribosomal RNA, 1224 nt
Filed under: Streptomyces cinnamoneus
Lineage: Bacteria; Bacillati; Actinomycetota; Actinomycetes; Kitasatosporales; Streptomycetaceae
Description: bacterial LSU rRNA
Rfam family: Bacterial large subunit ribosomal RNA
Source: RNAcentral
ACAGUGGACGCGAGCAUCUGUGGCCAAGUUUUUAAGGGCGCACGGUGGAUGCCUUGGCACCAGGAACCGAUGAAGGACGUGGGAGGCCACGAUAGGCCCCGGGGAGCUGUCAACCGAGCUUUGAUCCGGGGGUGUCCGAAUGGGGAAACCCGGCAGUCGUCAUGGGCUGUCACCCGCUGCUGAACACAUAGGCAGUGUGGAGGGAACGCGGGGAAGUGAAACAUCUCAGUACCCGCAGGAAGAGAAAACAACCGUGAUUCCGGGAGUAGUGGCGAGCGAAACCGGAUGAGGCCAAACCGUAUGUGUGUGAUACCCGGCAGGGGUUGCGCAUGCGGGGUUGUGGGAUCUCUUUUUCAUAGUCUGCCGGCUGUGAGACGAGUCAGAAACCGUUGAUGUAGGCGAAGGACAUGCGAAAGGUCCGGCGUAGAGGGUAAGACCCCCGUAGCUGAAACAUUGACGGCUCGUUUAAGAGACACCCAAGUAGCACGGGGCCCGAGAAAUCCCGUGUGAAUCUGGCGGGACCACCCGCUAAGCCUAAAUAUUCCCUGGUGACCGAUAGCGGAUAGUACCGUGAGGGAAUGGUGAAAAGUACCGCGGGAGCGGAGUGAAAUAGUACCUGAAACCGUGUGCCUACAAGCCGUGGGAGCGUCGCGCAUCGAGCUUGCUCGGUGCGUCGUGACUGCGUGCCUUUUGAAGAAUGAGCCUGCGAGUUUGCGGUAUGUUGCGAGGUUAACCCGUGUGGGGAAGCCGUAGCGAAAGCGAGUCCGAAUAGGGCGUUUGAGUAGCGUGCCCAAGACCCGAAGCGGAGUGAUCUAGCCAUGGGCAGGUUGAAGCGGAGGUAAGACUUCGUGGAGGACCGAACCCACCAGGGUUGAAAACCUGGGGGAUGACCUGUGGUUAGGGGUGAAAGGCCAAUCAAACUCCGUGAUAGCUGGUUCUCCCCGAAAUGCAUUUAGGUGCAGCGUCGUGUGUUUCUUGCCGGAGGUAGAGCACUGGAUAGGCGAUGGGCCCUACCGGGUUACUGACCUUAGCCAAACUCCGAAUGCCGGUAAGUGAGAGCGCGGCAGUGAGACUGUGGGGGAUAAGCUCCAUGGUCGAGAGGGAAACAGCCCAGAGCAUCGACUAAGGCCCCUAAGCGUACGCUAAGUGGGAAAGGAUGUGGAGUCGCAGAGACAACCAGGAGGUUGGCUUAGAAGCAGCCACCCUUGAAAGAGUGCGUAAUAG